RNAcentral lists this ribosomal RNA (498 nucleotides) under uncultured bacterium. Its description in RNAcentral is "partial 16S ribosomal RNA". It matches the Rfam family "Bacterial small subunit ribosomal RNA", at positions 30 to 523 of the family's 1533-position model. The record is from RNAcentral.
AUUGAACGCUGGCGGCAUGCCUUACACAUGCAAGUCGAACGGUAACAGGUCUUCGGAUGCUGACGAGUGGCGAACGGGUGAGUAAUACAUCGGAACGUGCCUAGUAGUGGGGGAUAACUACUCGAAAGAGUGGCUAAUACCGCAUGAGAUCUACGGAUGAAAGCAGGGGAUCGCAAGACCUUGUGCUACUAGAGCGGCCGAUGGCAGAUUAGGUAGUUGGUGGGAUAAAAGCUUACCAAGCCGACGAUCUGUAGCUGGUCUGAGAGGACGAUCAGCCACACUGGGACUGAGACACGGCCCAGACUCCUACGGGAGGCAGCAGUGGGGAAUUUUGGACAAUGGGCGCAAGCCUGAUUCAGCAAUGCCGCGUGCAGGAUGAAGGCCUUCGGGUUGUAAACUGCUUUUGUACGGAACGAAAAGCCCCGGGUUAAUACCCUGGGGUCAUGACGGUACCGUAAGAAUAAGCACCGGCUAACUACGUGCCAGCAGCCGCCGUAA